AUCUCCCACCCUUUGUGAACAUACCUCUGUUGCUUUGGCGGCUCUUUGCCGCGAGGAGGCCCUCGCGGGCCCCCCCGCGCGCUUUCCGCCAGAGGACCUUCAAACUCCAGUCAGUAAACGUCGACGUCUGAUAAACAAGUUAAUAAACUAAAACUUUCAACAACGGAUCUCUUGGUUCUGGCAUCGAUGAAGAACGCAGCGAAAUGCGAUAAGUAAUGUGAAUUGCAGAAUUCAGUGAAUCAUCGAAUCUUUGAACGCACAUUGCGCCCCCUGGCAUUCCGGGGGGCAUGCCUGUUCGAGCGUCAUUACAACCCUCAAGCUCUGCUUGGUAUUGGGCGCCGUCCUCUCUGCGGACGCGCCUUAAAGACCUCGGCGGUGGCUGUUCAGCCCUCAAGCGUAGUAGAAUACACCUCGCUUUGGAGCGGUUGGCGUCGCCCGCCGGACGAACCUUCUGAACUUU
Molecule: ribosomal RNA, 460 nt
Filed under: Diplodia seriata
Lineage: Eukaryota; Fungi; Ascomycota; Dothideomycetes; Botryosphaeriales; Botryosphaeriaceae
Description: eukaryotic LSU rRNA
Rfam family: 5.8S ribosomal RNA (bases 152-305)
Source: RNAcentral